Molecule: long non-coding RNA, 279 nt
Filed under: Mus musculus (house mouse)
Lineage: Eukaryota; Metazoa; Chordata; Mammalia; Rodentia; Muridae
Description: long non-coding RNA chrX:150431502-150431781
Source: RNAcentral
ACAACUUCUGCACUGACCAAAGGGCUUGAGCAAAUCCCAGACCAGUUUGGCUCCCUGGUGCUGAGCGAAGGUGCAGUGCUGGCAUCAUCUGGGGACCUUAAGAAUGAUAAGCAGGCAGCCAGCGCCAUCUCAAAGCUGGUCAGCACAGCCUGUGGCUUCAGGCUGCACCAUGGCACGAACAUCCCUUUCAAAUGCCUGUCUGUGGUCUUUGGUGAACACACACUGCUGGUGACUGUGUCAGGAGAGAGGGUGUUUGUGGUGAAGAGACAGAACCAAGGU